AGAGCGAACGCUGGCGGCAGGCCUAAUACAUGCAAGUCGAACGGCUCUUCGGAGCAGUGGCGGACGGGUGAGUAACGCGUGGGAAUGUGCCCUUUGGUACGGAACAACUGAGGGAAACUUCAGCUAAUACCGUAUGUGCCCUUCGGGGGAAAGAUUUAUUGCCAUUGGAGCAGCCCGCGUUGGAUUAGCUAGUUGGUGGGGUAAAGGCCCACCAAGGCGACGAUCCAUAGCUGGUCUGAGAGGAUGAUCAGCCACACUGGGACUGAGACACGGCCCAGACUCCUACGGGAGGCAGCAGUAGGAAUCUGCGCAAGUGGGCGAAAGCCUAGACGCAGCCAUGCCGCGUGAAUGAUGAAGGUCGUUAGGAUUAGUAAAAUUCUUUACGAACCGGGGAAGUAAUAAUAGGUACGGUACCCGGAAGAAACGAACGACCCGGACUAACUUCGUCGCCAGCAGCCGC
RNAcentral lists this ribosomal RNA (460 nucleotides) under uncultured soil bacterium. Its description in RNAcentral is "bacterial SSU rRNA". It matches the Rfam family "Bacterial small subunit ribosomal RNA", at positions 26 to 518 of the family's 1533-position model. The record is from RNAcentral.